GAAUUGCAGAAUUCCGUGAACCAUCGAAUCUUUGAACGCAUAUUGCGCUCGACCCUUCGGGGAAGAGCAUGUCUGCCUCAGCGUCGGUUUAAACCCUCAUCCCUACCCAUUCACAUGGGUCUGAUCGGCUUGCUCAAGCCGAUUGUUGGGAUGGAUCUGACCUCCCCAAAACUUGCUUGCAUUUCUUGGGUUGGUUGAAGBACAGAGGCUUAAACUGGGACCUGAUAUGGGCUCAACUGGAUAGGUAGCUCCACUUUGUCUCGUGCAAAGUACCUACACGAAGUUGUGUCUGUGGACCUGGUUAGGAGCCAAGCAGGAAUCAAGUUCUACUUGAAUAUAAGGUUCGACCUGAGC
Molecule: ribosomal RNA, 354 nt
Filed under: Desmodesmus serratus
Lineage: Eukaryota; Viridiplantae; Chlorophyta; Chlorophyceae; Sphaeropleales; Scenedesmaceae
Description: eukaryotic LSU rRNA
Rfam family: 5.8S ribosomal RNA (bases 1-86)
Source: RNAcentral